ACUGAGUAAAGCGGCGGACGGGUGAGUAAUGCUUGGGAAUCUACCUAGUAGUGGGGGAUAACGUGUGGAAACGCACGCUAAUACCGCAUACGUCCUACGGGAGAAAGCAGGGGACCUUCGGGCCUUGCGCUAUUAGAUGAGCCCAAGUCGGAUUAGCUAGUUGGUAGGGUAAAGGCCUACCAAGGCGACGAUCUGUAGCUGGUUUGAGAGAAUGGCCAGCCACACUGGGACUGAGACACGGCCCAGACUCC
RNAcentral lists this ribosomal RNA (251 nucleotides) under uncultured bacterium. Its description in RNAcentral is "partial 16S ribosomal RNA". It matches the Rfam family "Bacterial small subunit ribosomal RNA", at positions 85 to 339 of the family's 1533-position model. The record is from RNAcentral.